UACGUAGGGUGCGAGCGUUAAUCGGAAUUACUGGGCGUAAAGCGUGCGCAGGCGGUGAUGUAAGACAGAUGUGAAAUCCCCGGGCUCAACCUGGGACCUGCAUUUGUGACUGCAUCGCUAGAGUACGGUAGAGGGGGACGGAAUUCCGCGUGUAGCAGUGAAAUGCGUAGAUAUGCGGAGGAACACCGAUGGCGAAGGCAAUCCCCUGGACCUGUACUGACGCUCAUGCACGAAAGCGUGGGGAGCAAACAGG
This 253-nucleotide ribosomal RNA is filed under the name uncultured bacterium. Its description in RNAcentral is "partial 16S ribosomal RNA". It matches the Rfam family "Bacterial small subunit ribosomal RNA", at positions 524 to 776 of the family's 1533-position model. The record is from RNAcentral.